GAUGAACGCUGGCGGCGUGCCUAAUACAUGCAAGUCGAGCGAACGGACGAGAAGAUUGCUUCUCUGAUGUUAGCGGCGGACGGGUGAGUAACACGUGGAUAACCUACCUAUAAGACUGGGAUAACUUCGGGAAACCGGAGCUAAUACCGGAUAAUAUUUUGAACCGCAUGGUUCAAAAGUGAAAGACGGUCUUGCUGUCACUUAUAGAUGGAUCCGCGCUGCAUUAGCUAGUUGGUAAGGUAACGGCUUACCAAGGCAACGAUGCAUAGCCGACCUGAGAGGGUGAUCGGCCACACUGGAACUGAGACACGGUCCAGACUCCUACGGGAGGCAGCAGUAGGGAAUCUUCCGCAAUGGGCGAAAGCAUGACGGAGCAACGCCGCGUGAGUGAUGAAGGUCUUCGGAUCGUAAAACUCUGUUAUUAGGGAAGAACAUAUGUGUAAGUAACUGUGCACAUCUUGACGGUACCUAAUCAGAAAGCCACGGCUAACUACGUG
This 497-nucleotide ribosomal RNA is filed under the name uncultured bacterium. RNAcentral's name for it is "partial 16S ribosomal RNA". It matches the Rfam family "Bacterial small subunit ribosomal RNA", at positions 28 to 507 of the family's 1533-position model. The record is from RNAcentral.